ACCGGCGCACGGGUGCGUAACGCGUAUGCAAUCUACCUUGUACAGGGGGAUAGCCCAGAGAAAUUUGGAUUAAUACCCCAUAGUAUCUUUUGAAGGCAUCUUCAAAUUAUUAAAGUUCCAACGGUACAAGAUGAGCAUGUGUCCCAUUAGUUAGUUGGUGUGGUAACGGCACACCAAGACGAUGAUGGGUAGGGGUCCUGAGAGGGAGAUCCCCCACACUGGUACUGAGACACGGACCAGACUCCUACGGGAGGCAGCAGUGAGGAAUAUUGGGCAAUGGAGGCAACUCUGACCCAGCCAUGCCGCGUGCAGGAAGACGGCCCUAUGGGUUGUAAACUGCUUUUGUACGGGAAGAAACACUCCUACGUGUAGGAGCUUGGCGGUACCGUAAGAAUAAGGAUCGGCUAACUCCGUGCCAGCAGCCGCGGUAAUACGGAGGAUCCAAGCGUUAUCCGGAAUCAUUGGGUUUAAAGGGUCCGUAGGCGGCCUUAUAAGUCAGUGGUGAAAUCUCCUAGCUCAACUAGGAAACUGCCAUUGAUACUGUAGGGCUUGAAUUUUUGUGAAGUAACUAGAAUAUGUAGUGUAGCGGUGAAAUGCUUAGAUAUUACAUGGAAUACCAAUUGCGAAGGCAGGUUACUAACAAACGAUUGACGCUGAUGGACGAAAGCGUGGGGAGCGAACAGGAUUAGAUACCCUGGUAGUCCACGCCGUAAACGAUGGAUACUAGCUGUUCGAACGCAAGUUUGAGUGGCUAAGCGAAAGUGAUAAGUAUCCCACCUGGGGAGUAC
This 788-nucleotide ribosomal RNA is filed under the name uncultured marine bacterium. RNAcentral's name for it is "bacterial SSU rRNA". It matches the Rfam family "Bacterial small subunit ribosomal RNA", at positions 94 to 883 of the family's 1533-position model. The record is from RNAcentral.